CAUUUCAGUAGGCCACAGUGGAACGUUGACUCUUGUCCAGGUUCAAUAUUUUCUGCUACAACCGAUCCCCUUCCCACUAUGAUACCACCUUCAAGCGCCAUCUGUAAUGAGGUAACCCAGCUUACAGAUGUGGAACUCAGCACCUUCAACGCCUGUAUUGGUGACAUGGCCCCUCUCGGGUACCCAGAGAACUCCAUGGCUGCUCUUGAGAGGGUCUGUGGUGAAUAUGUCUUUCAACAACAACAGUCGGCACAGCCUCUAGAGCCCCAGCAGGUUGAGGUGCAUCUGGAAACGUUUCAUCAAGUGCCGCAGCAGGAGGCCCGGGUCCUACAUCCCCAACAACCAGCAUCUCAAGUGCCUGAAACGCCACAGCAGACCGUUGAUAUACAAGGGUUCAACGUGUGCAAACCCAAGCCAGUGACAUCUUUACAGUCGCAAAGGACAUUGUUCCCCACACCACCACAAUCCGAAGCAGCUGUCACCUAUGAAGAAUCCGUGCCUGGUCCCAGCCGAUAUAACCUGUACAGCGACGGGGCUACCGUGUCGUCCAUUGCGAUGAUAAUCCCUGUGAUGAAACAGUUGAUUAUAUGCGCCACGUGUAAAAAGAAGUUCAACAGAGCGUUCAUCUGUAACAACUACUUGAUUCAGCUGAACAGACCCGUGCAAUGUGCUUGGGGCUGUGUAUUGUGCAGACUGUGUUACAGUGAACAAAGUGGUUGUCGCCUUCACAAUAUAUCGUCCACAAGGGCCGCUCUAAGCACCACAGCCAACACCCUUGCCAAUUUCCUGCUCUGGAGAAUGUAGGAGACUGGGAUCUGGAACUCAACAUAGAUGAUAAGUUCAAGACUGACAAGGAGGUCAACGUCCAUGUGCAGCUGAUUAUGAAUGAGGAGCAAUCGUCUGGAGUUGACACCCUGCGAAGAGCGUUCAACCAUCUCAUCACAGUGAAUGACACCAUGUCCUUCAGGUACUGGGUAAGCAAAGCAAUGCCAGAAGAGGUGGCCUACAGAUAUGUCUGCAUCCCUCAUGUACCUGGGUUCUGGGAUCAGGUUGUGGUGGGAACCCGUCCCCUUCCCAGAACGGAGAAGCUGAUCGGACCUGAUGACUCCUUACCGAGAUUGUUCAAUGUGUCACUUGGGUCCUACAGGUUUCAUUGGUGCUGUUUUGUCUUGAAGAAACAGAUCAUUUUGACUAUGUGGUGCACUUUGUUGCCCAGGAGAGGGCAGUCUAAGGUCGUCACAGUUGUUGACAACACACUGAGAAACCUCACCUCGAGCAUAGAGUUUAGAAGAAUGGUAUUCUAUCUUUGUAGGUAGUUUACAGCUCAGUAUGUCACCACAAGACAGGCGGCUUAACCUUGUGUUAGAUUGUAAACCCAGUGAAGGUGAUACUUUGGUCCAUGUCAUAGCUUUGUUGGCCACCAGGAUUGGGAUGGAAACAGUAACACCUCACCUGGCCCAGCAACGGGCCAAAGAUGAUAGUAAUUACUGUUUCAAUGGUAGGAAUGCCAACAGCAUGUUCACAUGCCCCUCAGACGGUAAUUUAGGAGGUAAUUACAUCGAUAUUGUUGAGGAGUUUAGCUCCUACCACAACAGUGGCGAUGAUGGUAUUGGUCUCACUCACAUGUCCACAACCACAGAGUGUUACAGCUUCCUUUAAAGUAGAGCAAUGAUGUUUGUAUAGUGUUACCUCAGCCUACAAGAGUCUACAUGUGGGAUCGUGUGGUGACAUGAUGCCUAAAGGUUAUUUUAGGUCUUGUUUGACAAUGGGCCCUGACUGAUAAAAAUUAAUAUGGUGAUGUUCUCAAUGUCACAUGUUUACGAUUUUAUACCUUACUUUAAUUGACCAUAUUACACCUGGGUAAUGUGUAUACCCUUUUGUAUCAGCCAACCUUAUAUAUCUAUUGCCUUGAAAUAAAAUAUGUCUUGCAUAUACAUAUAUCUUGGUUGUGUUUAUUUGAAAGAUGACAGCGACACCACAUUUUGAAAGACAAUUGAUGUGACAGUAAUUGAGAAUGAACUGCCUAUGAUCGGGUGCACAUCUAUGUGGAUUACUCAGUAGACACUGGUUCUGUGUUGCAUUCCCUGCCUUAGUUCUACGCGGCCAGGGUCCGUUAUUACCGCCAGAGGAAAUCAGAAGCUAUUUCAUUCAGCACAGGGAUCUAUCUGUGUACUGUCUAUUUAGAACUUACAAAGGAAGGUGCUACUCGCCUCCCUAUGUCAGUGAUCCUGCUGGUGUUUCCAUGUGAUAGGGUAGUGGGUUAUAUGGUAUCACUGUCGUCGUCGCUGUCCUCAUCGUCGCUGUCGUCCUGGUAGUAGUGGUAAUAACCACCACCUGGGUUUAGGUUGCUCAGGGUUGUUAGCCUCUCAGCCUGUUGCUACACAGACAACAUACGGCUCUGAACAGCAUACAGACCAUGCUGGAGGCUCGGCUCAUAAGCUGCGCACUUUGUAAGUAUACGGGAAAGCACGUUGGUAUCGUGAACCAGACAUCAAACGCUUGAUAGUACAGACACCUUGGGCUAUCCGAUAGGACCGAGAAGGGAGAUGACGAGAGCCACCGCGAGCGUGUCCAGGGAACGUAUGUUCCGUUGCGAGAAGGAGCUUGCGGAAGCUGCUUUGAAAGACAGAGGGAGCUCCUACGGAUUAGAUAUGUUUAGAACACGUGAGCUUAGUCGUCGUGAAAGGGGUCAGUCUGACAACGUGGACUACGAGCGUUACGGGUUGAUCCCUAUCCAUCGGGACGUCAACUCCUAGGCUUACAGCCAGAGAGGGAAAAUCACUUUCAUCUGGAGAAGCUCGUCCGUUAACACGGGGCGGCCCAUCUGCAGGUCCCCGCUGUUCCUCAAAGAAAGAUGAAGGAUUUGAGUUGGCCUGACGGAGAGAUCUUCCAGGCGACUCCGGCCCAUGGAGGAUGCAGAGCAUCACAUCAGAUCAAACAUUGAUAAACCAGUACUUUACCAGCGUUUUAUCAAUAUCUUUAAAGGACGGGGAGUUUUUGCCACUGAAUUCAUAUCCAAAGGAGACUUUGUUGUGGAGUACCGAGGUGAACUGCUUACACAACAGGAGGGCGAGGUCCGAGCUGAUCAGUACAAUGAUUCUGCAAAGGUGUUUCUUUUCGAUUUCCAAUGGAAAGGAAGAACAUGGUGCAUUGAUGCAUCUGAAGAAGACUCCUCCCUUGGGAGACUCGUUAAUGAUGAUCACUAAAGACUCAAUCUCAAAAUGAAGGCCAUACAAGCAAACGAUGAGCCACACUUGUGCCUCUUCGCGACUCGAGAUAUUGCAGCUGGCGAAGAGUUGACUUAUAGUUACGGUGAUUCAGACUGGCCAUGGAGAACACAGGUCAUCAAAACUGAAUUGUCGUCCAGCCCAAAACCUGCUCAUUGACGCGUUGCAGAAUGACAACUCCCAACCCUGUCAGAACAGCAUGGACACGGAUGGAUCAGAUUCCAACUUGAAAGAAGAUGCGGAGACCGUGCCUGUGUCUUCCAGCCCCAAACCCACGGUAAGAGAACUUGAAU
This is a long non-coding RNA of Salvelinus fontinalis (brook trout), 3520 nucleotides long. RefSeq lists it as uncharacterized. Lineage: Eukaryota; Metazoa; Chordata; Actinopteri; Salmoniformes; Salmonidae. The record is from RefSeq and is a predicted model, not a curated record. The transcript has 8 exons.